This 82-nucleotide transfer RNA is filed under the name Echinostoma caproni. It matches the Rfam family "tRNA". Rfam says of the family: Transfer RNA (tRNA) molecules are approximately 80 nucleotides in length. Their secondary structure includes four short double-helical elements and three loops (D, anti-codon, and T loops). The record is from Rfam by way of RNAcentral. Lineage: Eukaryota; Metazoa; Platyhelminthes; Trematoda; Plagiorchiida; Echinostomatidae.
GGCCUCGUAGCUCAACUGGUAGAGCAUGCGCGUACAAAGCGUAGGCGGCGUCCAUGCGUGGGUUCGAAUCCCACCGAGGCUA